RNA transcript from Sinocyclocheilus anshuiensis, 2221 nucleotides. It is a transcript of the gene named E3 ubiquitin-protein ligase parkin-like, with no coding region annotated. Lineage: Eukaryota; Metazoa; Chordata; Actinopteri; Cypriniformes; Cyprinidae. The transcript is spliced from 13 exons. The record is from RefSeq and is a predicted model, not a curated record.
UUUUUUUUCUUACGCUGAUGAAGAGUAGGUGCUGCUGAACUUUAUUUCCCAUGAUCCCGUGCGGUUUUGCCUCUGCUCGCGCGCACGCAGCAUGUCAACAAACACCAAAGUCAAACUGCAGUGAAUCCGGGACGCAACAGAUAUCACAGUAUGAUCGUAUAUGUGCGGUUUAACUCCAGCCAUGGGUUCCCGGUGGAACUGGAACAGGGUGCGAGUGUAGCUGAGCUGAAAGAGACGGUGGGGCAUUUACAGGGCGUACAGCCUGAUCGACUGCGGGUUAUCUUUGCUGGACGAGAGCUCUGCAAUGAAUCCACACUUCAGGGCUGCGAUCUCCCCGAGCAGAGCACAGUUCAUGUGGUUCUGCCCCCGUCCACCUCGACCCAGCGCUCUGAGCUGGUCCAGCAGCGCAGGCUGGGCGGCAGGAUUGAAAGCUUGACCCGACUCGACCUCAGUGGCUCCCGUCUGACCACCGUGUCUGAAGGCCUGGCUGUCAUUCUGGAGACAGAUGCGUCCAGACAGGGGAACUCCGUUGGACACACAGAAGCAAAAGCCCACAGCAGUUUCUAUGUGUUCUGUAAGACGGUCUGCAAGGCCAUUCAGCCUGGAAAACUACGUGUUCGGUGCAGAGACUGCAAACAAGGCACUCUUACUCUCAGCAGGGGGCCGAGCUGCUGGGAUGACGUCCUUCUCCCUAACAGGAUUCAUGGAGUAUGUCAGUCACAAGACUGUGAUGGCAGAUUGGCGGAGUUCUACCUGAAAUGUGCUGCCCACCCCACCUGUGAUAAUGACACUUCAGCAGCACUGGACUUGAUAAUGCCCAACACACGCAGAGUGCCCUGCAUCGCCUGCACUGACAUCAUGACUCUGGUGCUGGUGUUUCAGUGUGCCGAGCGUCAUGUGAUCUGCCUGGAGUGCUUCCACCUGUACUGUGUGACCAGACUCAAUGAGCGACAGUUUACCCAGGAGCCGCUGGUGGGCUACUCUCUGCCCUGUGCAGCCGGCUGUCCUGAUUCGCUCAUUAAAGAGGUUCAUCAUUUCCGAGUCCUGGGAGAUGAGCAGUAUGAGCGCUACCAGCGAUACGCGGCGGAGGAGUGUGUUCUUCAGAUGGGAGGAGUUCUGUGUCCCGCUCCAGGAUGUGGUGCUGGGCUGCUUCCUGUGGAUGAUGGCAGGAGAGUCCGCUGUGAGUUGGGGAAUGGACUCGGCUGUGGGUUUGUGUUUUGCAGGGACUGUAAGGCAGAGUUUCACGAGGACCCCUGCAGACAGAGGACAGACACAGCAACAGGAAGUGCCCUGCAGGGCUAUAUUGCAGAUGAAGAUGCGGCUCUUCAUGCCCGCUGGGAACAGGCUUCACAGGAAACUAUAGCCGAAACCACUCACCUUUGCCCCAAAUGCCAAGUUCCUGUGGAAAAAAACGGUGGCUGUAUGCACAUGGUGUGUCCGCGUCCACAGUGUAAGUUUGAAUGGUGUUGGUUCUGUCACGUGGAGUGGAACAGAGAAUGUAUGGGCAACCACUGGUUCGGAUGAGUCGGAUACACUCUCACCAUCAGCUGAAACUCAGGAAAUGAAGCCAAACCUCUAAUCAUUAGCAGUAUUGUGAGUCUCUCAGUGUUGUCUGCUCAUCGGUAUAACCAGGGCUGGUUUAUGAACCGGACCAGCGGGGCCAGUGUCCAGGGGCCUUGAACUGCCAGGAACCUCCAAAGCCUCAAACCACAGAGAAACUGAACACCAAGGUCCUCAAAUCCAGGCCAAGGCUGAAAGUAUCAAUAAUAAGUAGUUUAGGCUUCUUAAAAUCGACUAUUUUACCUAUUAUUAAUCCGUUUUUAUGGUUAUUAGAGUUUUGUGUUAACAGCAAAGUCCAUUGAAAUCAAUUCUAAUGUAGUUGCUGGUAAUGUAGAACGUUCCAAAUCUGUCACUGUUGAGGAUCCUUGUUAGGAUGCUGCCUUAGAAGACAGCUUGCUGUCUUGCAUGUUUCAGAACAAGUCCACACAAUGCUUAUAUCUAGUUUAUAUGAUGAUUCGAUGACCCUUGAUGGACAUAUUCUGUUGAAACAGGACACAGUACUGGUGCUAUAGAUGGACCCUAAACAAUCCUGUGCUGUUGCCCUGCGACCUCUAGUUAAACAUUAUGAGAUAAGUGUUAGUUCAGUAUGAUUUAUUACAGGGAGGGUGUAACUGGAUGUCUAACACGUGUGCUAACGACUCACAGUAAAGAUUAACUGAGA